Molecule: transfer RNA, 73 nt
Filed under: Cephalopholis argus (peacock hind)
Lineage: Eukaryota; Metazoa; Chordata; Actinopteri; Perciformes; Serranidae
Description: tRNA-Asp
Rfam family: tRNA
About the family: Transfer RNA (tRNA) molecules are approximately 80 nucleotides in length. Their secondary structure includes four short double-helical elements and three loops (D, anti-codon, and T loops). Further hydrogen bonds mediate the characteristic L-shaped molecular structure. tRNAs have two regions of fundamental functional importance: the anti-codon, which is responsible for specific mRNA codon recognition, and the 3' end, to which the tRNAs corresponding amino acid is attached (by aminoacyl-tRNA synthetases). tRNAs cope with the degeneracy of the genetic code in two manners: having more than one tRNA (with a specific anti-codon) for a particular amino acid; and 'wobble' base-pairing, i.e. permitting non-standard base-pairing at the 3rd anti-codon position.
Source: RNAcentral
GAGAUACUAGUAAAAAGCGCGAUUACGCUGCCUUGUCAAGGCGAUAGUGCGGGUUGAAAUCCUGCGUGUCUCA